UACGGGGGGAGCAAGCGUUGUUCGGAUUUACUGGGCGUAAAGGGCGCGUAGGCGGUCGUGACAAGUCACUUGUGAAAUCUCCGGGCUUAACUCGGAACGGUCAAGUGAUACUGUCGGACUAGAGUACAGAAGGGGCAACUGGAAUUCUCGGUGUAGCGGUGAAAUGCGUAGAUAUCGAGAGGAACACCUGCGGCGAAGGCGGGUUGCUGGGCUGAUACUGACGCUGAGGCGCGAAA
RNAcentral lists this ribosomal RNA (236 nucleotides) under uncultured bacterium. Its description in RNAcentral is "partial 16S ribosomal RNA". It matches the Rfam family "Bacterial small subunit ribosomal RNA", at positions 524 to 758 of the family's 1533-position model. The record is from RNAcentral.